Molecule: ribosomal RNA, 253 nt
Filed under: uncultured bacterium
Lineage: Bacteria
Description: partial 16S ribosomal RNA
Rfam family: Bacterial small subunit ribosomal RNA
Source: RNAcentral
UACGAAGGGGGCUAGCGUUGCUCGGAAUCACUGGGCGUAAAGCGCACGUAGGCGGAUCUUUAAGUCAGGGGUGAAAUCCUGGAGCUCAACUCCAGAACUGCCUUUGAUACUGGGGAUCUCGAGUCCGGAAGAGGUGAGUGGAACUCUGAGUGUAGAGGUGAAAUUCGUAGAUAUUCGGAAGAACACCAGUGGCGAAGGCGGCUCACUGGUCCGGUACUGACGCUGAGGUGCGAAAGCCAGGGGAGCGAACGGG